RNAcentral lists this ribosomal RNA (2930 nucleotides) under Escherichia coli O157:H7. RNAcentral describes it as "23S ribosomal RNA". It matches the Rfam family "Bacterial large subunit ribosomal RNA". Lineage: Bacteria; Pseudomonadati; Pseudomonadota; Gammaproteobacteria; Enterobacterales; Enterobacteriaceae. The record is from RNAcentral.
GGGUUGUGAGGUUAAGCGACUAAGCGUACACGGUGGAUGCCCUGGCAGUCAGAGGCGAUGAAGGACGUGCUAAUCUGCGAUAAGCGUCGGUAAGGUGAUAUGAACCGUUAUAACCGGCGAUUUCCGAAUGGGGAAACCCAGUGUGUUUCGACACACUAUCAUUAACUGAAUCCAUAGGUUAAUGAGGCGAACCGGGGGAACUGAAACAUCUAAGUACCCCGAGGAAAAGAAAUCAACCGAGAUUCCCCCAGUAGCGGCGAGCGAACGGGGAGCAGCCCAGAGCCUGAAUCAGUGUGUGUGUUAGUGGAAGCGUCUGGAAAGGCGCGCGAUACAGGGUGACAGCCCCGUACACAAAAAUGCACAUACUGUGAGCUCGAUGAGUAGGGCGGGACACGUGGUAUCCUGUCUGAAUAUGGGGGGACCAUCCUCCAAGGCUAAAUACUCCUGACUGACCGAUAGUGAACCAGUACCGUGAGGGAAAGGCGAAAAGAACCCCGGCGAGGGGAGUGAAAAAGAACCUGAAACCGUGUACGUACAAGCAGUGGGAGCCUCUUUUAUGGGGUGACUGCGUACCUUUUGUAUAAUGGGUCAGCGACUUAUAUUCUGUAGCAAGGUUAACCGAAUAGGGGAGCCGAAGGGAAACCGAGUCUUAACCGGGCGUUAAGUUGCAGGGUAUAGACCCGAAACCCGGUGAUCUAGCCAUGGGCAGGUUGAAGGUUGGGUAACACUAACUGGAGGACCGAACCGACUAAUGUUGAAAAAUUAGCGGAUGACUUGUGGCUGGGGGUGAAAGGCCAAUCAAACCGGGAGAUAGCUGGUUCUCCCCGAAAGCUAUUUAGGUAGCGCCUCGUGAAUUCAUCUCCGGGGGUAGAGCACUGUUUCGGCAAGGGGGUCAUCCCGACUUACCAACCCGAUGCAAACUGCGAAUACCGGAGAAUGUUAUCACGGGAGACACACGGCGGGUGCUAACGUCCGUCGUGAAGAGGGAAACAACCCAGACCGCCAGCUAAGGUCCCAAAGUCAUGGUUAAGUGGGAAACGAUGUGGGAAGGCCCAGACAGCCAGGAUGUUGGCUUAGAAGCAGCCAUCAUUUAAAGAAAGCGUAAUAGCUCACUGGUCGAGUCGGCCUGCGCGGAAGAUGUAACGGGGCUAAACCAUGCACCGAAGCUGCGGCAGCGACACUGUGUGUUGUUGGGUAGGGGAGCGUUCUGUAAGCCUGUGAAGGUGUACUGUGAGGUAUGCUGGAGGUAUCAGAAGUGCGAAUGCUGACAUAAGUAACGAUAAAGCGGGUGAAAAGCCCGCUCGCCGGAAGACCAAGGGUUCCUGUCCAACGUUAAUCGGGGCAGGGUGAGUCGACCCCUAAGGCGAGGCCGAAAGGCGUAGUCGAUGGGAAACAGGUUAAUAUUCCUGUACUUGGUGUUACUGCGAAGGGGGGACGGAGAAGGCUAUGUUGGCCGGGCGACGGUUGUCCCGGUUUAAGCGUGUAGGCUGGUUUUCCAGGCAAAUCCGGAAAAUCAAGGCUGAGGCGUGAUGACGAGGCACUACGGUGCUGAAGCAACAAAUGCCCUGCUUCCAGGAAAAGCCUCUAAGCAUCAGGUAACAUCAAAUCGUACCCCAAACCGACACAGGUGGUCAGGUAGAGAAUACCAAGGCGCUUGAGAGAACUCGGGUGAAGGAACUAGGCAAAAUGGUGCCGUAACUUCGGGAGAAGGCACGCUGAUAUGUAGGUGAAGUCCCUUGCGGAUGGAGCUGAAAUCAGUCGAAGAUACCAGCUGGCUGCAACUGUUUAUUAAAAACACAGCACUGUGCAAACACGAAAGUGGACGUAUACGGUGUGACGCCUGCCCGGUGCCGGAAGGUUAAUUGAUGGGGUCAGCGCAAGCGAAGCUCUUGAUCGAAGCCCCGGUAAACGGCGGCCGUAACUAUAACGGUCCUAAGGUAGCGAAAUUCCUUGUCGGGUAAGUUCCGACCUGCACGAAUGGCGUAAUGAUGGCCAGGCUGUCUCCACCCGAGACUCAGUGAAAUUGAACUCGCUGUGAAGAUGCAGUGUACCCGCGGCAAGACGGAAAGACCCCGUGAACCUUUACUAUAGCUUGACACUGAACAUUGAGCCUUGAUGUGUAGGAUAGGUGGGAGGCUUUGAAGUGUGGACGCCAGUCUGCAUGGAGCCGACCUUGAAAUACCACCCUUUAAUGUUUGAUGUUCUAACGUGGACCCGUGAUCCGGGUUGCGGACAGUGUCUGGUGGGUAGUUUGACUGGGGCGGUCUCCUCCUAAAGAGUAACGGAGGAGCACGAAGGUUGGCUAAUCCUGGUCGGACAUCAGGAGGUUAGUGCAAUGGCAUAAGCCAGCUUGACUGCGAGCGUGACGGCGCGAGCAGGUGCGAAAGCAGGUCAUAGUGAUCCGGUGGUUCUGAAUGGAAGGGCCAUCGCUCAACGGAUAAAAGGUACUCCGGGGAUAACAGGCUGAUACCGCCCAAGAGUUCAUAUCGACGGCGGUGUUUGGCACCUCGAUGUCGGCUCAUCACAUCCUGGGGCUGAAGUAGGUCCCAAGGGUAUGGCUGUUCGCCAUUUAAAGUGGUACGCGAGCUGGGUUUAGAACGUCGUGAGACAGUUCGGUCCCUAUCUGCUGUGGGCGCUGGAGAACUGAGGGGGGCUGCUCCUAGUACGAGAGGACCGGAGUGGACGCAUCACUGGUGUUCGGGUUGUCAUGCCAAUGGCACUGCCCGGUAGCUAAAUGCGGAAGAGAUAAGUGCUGAAAGCAUCUAAGCACGAAACUUGCCCCGAGAUGAGUUCUCCCUGACCCUUUAAGGGUCCUGAAGGAACGUUGAAGACGACGACGUUGAUAGGCCGGGUGUGUAAGCGCAGCGAUGCGUUGAGCUAACCGGUACUAAUGAACCGUGAGGCUUAACCUUACAACGCCGAAGGUGUUU